This 22-nucleotide non-coding RNA is filed under the name Arabidopsis thaliana (thale cress). The record is from RNAcentral. Lineage: Eukaryota; Viridiplantae; Streptophyta; Magnoliopsida; Brassicales; Brassicaceae.
CAGGACCUGCAGGUGCUGGUUG